RNAcentral lists this ribosomal RNA (253 nucleotides) under uncultured bacterium. Its description in RNAcentral is "partial 16S ribosomal RNA". It matches the Rfam family "Bacterial small subunit ribosomal RNA", at positions 524 to 776 of the family's 1533-position model. The record is from RNAcentral.
GACGUAGGGGGCGAGCGUUGUCCGGAUUCAUUGGGCGUAAAGAGCGCGUAGGCGGCCCGGAAAGUGGGGUGUGAAAACCCGAGGCUCAACCUCGGGCGUGCACUCCAAACUCCCGGGCUCGAGGCAGGUAGGGGAGAUCGGAAUUCCUGAUGUAGCGGUGAAAUGCGCAGAUAUCAGGAGGAACACCUAUUGCGAAGGCAGCUCGCUGGGACGGUACUGACACUGAGACGCGAAAGCGUGGGGAGCAAACAGG